AUGGUGGCACACGAUUUUAUUGUUAAGAAUAGGGAAGGCGAGCUUAAAUACAAAUUGUUCUUUGAUAAACAUCAUCUUGAGACUAUUACCCUGCCUGCUCCUUCCUUGUUUGAUUUAUCUGCAAGCAAGUACCUUGUUCUGUUAGAGGCUAUUCACGCCUACCGGAACCCUACAUCAGCUACAGAGCCAGAGUCGGAACCACAAGUUGAUCCUCCACGACAGUCUAAUUACCAGUGGGAUCCGGAGAUGAUUGCCAACCAGUGGCAAUUAGAGUCUUCUUCUUCGCAGUACGACCCCAACUAUUACUAUGGAUAUCCGCCAGGCCAGCCGUGGCCAUAG
Molecule: ribosomal RNA, 339 nt
Filed under: Triticum aestivum (bread wheat)
Lineage: Eukaryota; Viridiplantae; Streptophyta; Magnoliopsida; Poales; Poaceae
Description: partial small subunit ribosomal RNA
Source: RNAcentral